ACGGAGGGUGCAAGCGUUAUCCGGAUUCACUGGGUUUAAAGGGUACGUAGGCGGACUAGUAAGUCAGUGGUGAAAGCCCGCAGCUCAACUGUGGAAUUGCCAUUGAAACUGCUAGCCUUGAGUUCGGUUGAUGUGGACGGAAUGUAGCAUGUAGCGGUGAAAUGCUUAGAUAUGCUACAGAACACCAAUUGCGAAGGCAGUUCACAAAACCGAUACUGACGCUGAGGUACGAAAGCGUGGGUAGCGAACAGG
RNAcentral lists this ribosomal RNA (252 nucleotides) under uncultured bacterium. RNAcentral's name for it is "partial 16S ribosomal RNA". It matches the Rfam family "Bacterial small subunit ribosomal RNA", at positions 525 to 776 of the family's 1533-position model. The record is from RNAcentral.